RNAcentral lists this ribosomal RNA (792 nucleotides) under uncultured archaeon 61B. Its description in RNAcentral is "bacterial SSU rRNA". It matches the Rfam family "Archaeal small subunit ribosomal RNA", at positions 48 to 840 of the family's 1478-position model. The record is from RNAcentral.
GACAUGCGAGUCGAGAGUCGUAAUGGACUCGGCGGACUGCUACGUUAACACGUGGAUAACAUGCCCUUAAGUGGAGGAUAAUCUCGGGAAAUUGAGGAUAAUACUCCAUAGAUCAUGAAAUCUGGAAUGAUUCAUGGUUCAAAGUUCCGGCGCUUAAGGAUUGGUCUGCGGCCUAUCAGGUAGUAGUGGGUGUAACGUACCUACUAGCCUAUGACGGGUAUGGGCCUUGAGAGAGGGAGCCCAGAGUUGGAUUCUGAGACACGAAUCCAGGCCCUACGGGGCGCAGCAGUCGCGAAAACUUCACACUGGGGGCAACCCCGAUGAGGGAAUUCCUAGUGCUAGCGCUUUUUGUGCUAGCUUUUCUUCAGUAUAGAUAGCUGGAGGAAUAAGGGCUGGGUAAGACGGGUGCCAGCCGCCGCGGUAAUACCUGCAGCCCAAGUGGUGGUCGAUUUUAUUGAGUCUAAAACGUUCGUAGCCGGUUUGAUAAAUCCUUGGGUAAAUCGGAGAGCUUAACUUUCCGACUUCCGAGGAGACUGUCAAACUUGGGACCGGGAGAGGCAAGAGGUACUUGAGGGGUAGGGGUAAAAUCCUGUAAUCCUUUAAGGACCACCGGUGGCGAAGGCGUCUUGCUAGAACGGAUCCGACGGUGAGGGACGAAGCCUCUGGGUCGCAAACGGGAUUAGAUACCCCGGUAGUCCAGGGUGUAAACUGCUGCAGACUUGGUGUUGGAGAUCCUUCGUGGGUAUUCAGUGCCGGAGAGAAGUUGUUAAGUCUGCUACUUGGGGAGUACGU